RNAcentral lists this ribosomal RNA (231 nucleotides) under Grifola frondosa (maitake). RNAcentral's name for it is "partial large subunit ribosomal RNA". It matches the Rfam family "Eukaryotic large subunit ribosomal RNA", at positions 76 to 300 of the family's 3401-position model. Lineage: Eukaryota; Fungi; Basidiomycota; Agaricomycetes; Polyporales; Grifolaceae. The record is from RNAcentral.
UCCCCUAGUAACUGCGAGUGAAGCGGGAAGAGCUCAAAUUUAAAAUCUGGCGGUCUCAGGCCGUCCGAGUUGUAGUCUGGAGAAGUGCUUUCCGCGCUGGACCGUGUACAAGUCUCUUGGAACAGAGCGUCAUAGAGGGUGAGAAUCCCGUCUUUGACACGGACUACCAGUGCUUUGUGAUGCGCUCUCGAAGAGUCGAGUUGUUUGGGAAUGCAGCUCAAAAUGGGUGGU